GGGGGAUAUUGGACAAUGGGGGAAACCCUGAUGCAGCGACGCCGCGUGAGUGAAGAAGUAUUUCGGUAUGUAAAGCUCUAUCAGCAGGGAAGAAAAUGACGGUACCUGACCAAGAAGCCCCGGCUAACUAC
RNAcentral lists this ribosomal RNA (131 nucleotides) under uncultured bacterium. RNAcentral describes it as "partial 16S ribosomal RNA". It matches the Rfam family "Bacterial small subunit ribosomal RNA", at positions 356 to 504 of the family's 1533-position model. The record is from RNAcentral.